CCUGAAACCGAACAGGGAUUGUAGGUCCAAGCUUC
RNAcentral lists this small RNA (35 nucleotides) under Bombyx mori (domestic silkworm). RNAcentral describes it as "ovarian small RNA-13995". The record is from RNAcentral. Lineage: Eukaryota; Metazoa; Arthropoda; Insecta; Lepidoptera; Bombycidae.